AUCCUGCCUUGUUUCAUGGUCAAGAUCAGCCCCACCUCUUUGGCAGAAACAAAACAGAAAGAGCAAAGAGUGCUUGGGUGAAUGAAAAGGAACGGAGAUGAAAUCCAAGCUGUUUUUCCUCUUCCUUCUCCUGGAAAUCUCACCAGACAUCUCCGCUGCUGUGCAACUGGCCCAGCCUAGCUCACUCAUUGUAAAGCCCGGAGGGUCCUUCAAACUGACCUGUGUCGUCUCUGGGCCUGAGGUCGGCGGGUGGUUCUGGGGAUGGAAUCGUCUAUCUCCAGGCAAAAAGCUGGAAUGGUUGGGGGGCAUCAAAAGCAUCGCACAAGGAGGAGAACCUUACUACAACACAGCAUUCAGCGGUCGAAUUACUAUUGCCAGGAGCAACUGGAACAAUGAGUUCUACUUCCAGUUGCGGGCCUUAGUCACUGAUGAUUCUGCCGUUUAUUACUGCACAAGAGAGCGAAAAGGAGACACA
Pogona vitticeps (central bearded dragon) is the source of this 475-nucleotide non-coding RNA. Lineage: Eukaryota; Metazoa; Chordata; Lepidosauria; Squamata; Agamidae. The record is from the annotation of a RefSeq genome assembly.